UGAACGCUGGCGGUAGGCCUAACACAUGCACGUCGAACGGCAGCACAGUAAGAGCUUGCUCUUACGGGUAGCGAGUGGCGGACGGGUGAGGAAUACAUCGGAAUCUACUUUUUCGUGGGGGAUAACGUAGGGAAACUUACGCUAAUACCGCAUACGACCUACGGGUGAAAGCAGGGGAUCUUCGGACCUUGCGCGAUUGAAUGAGCCGAUGUCGGAUUAGCUAGUUGGCGGGGUAAAGGCCCACCAAGGCGACGAUCCGUAGCUGGUCUGAGAGGAUGAUCAGCCACACUGGAACUGAGACACGGUCCAGACUCCUACGGGAGGCAGCAGUGGGGAAUAUUGGACAAUGGGCGCAAGCCUGAUCCAGCCAUACCGCGUGGGUGAAGAAGGCCUUCGGGUUGUAAAGCCCUUUUGUUGGGAAAGAAAAGCAGCAGGUUAAUACCCCGCUGUUCUGACGGUACCCAAAGAAUAAGCACCGGCUAACUUCGUG
This 490-nucleotide ribosomal RNA is filed under the name uncultured bacterium. Its description in RNAcentral is "partial 16S ribosomal RNA". It matches the Rfam family "Bacterial small subunit ribosomal RNA", at positions 30 to 507 of the family's 1533-position model. The record is from RNAcentral.